UGCCUGCUACCAUGCAGUCGAGCGGAUGAGGGUGCUUGCACCCGGAUUCAGCGGCGGACGGGUGAGUAAAGCCUAGGAAUCUGCCUGUUAGUGGGGGAUAACGUUCCGAAAGGGACGCUAAUACCGCAUACGUCCUACGGGAGAAAGUGGGGGAUCUUCGGACCUCACGCUAACAGAUGAGCCUAGGUCGGAUUAGCUAGUUGGUGGGGUAAAGGCCCACCAAGGCGACGAUCCGUAACUGGUCUGAGAGGAUGAUCAGUCACACUGGAACUGAGACACGGUCCAGACUCCUACGGGAGGCAGCAGUGGGGAAUAUUGGACAAUGGGCGCAAGCCUGAUCCAGCCAUGCCGCGUGUGUGAAGAAGGUCUUCGGAUUGUAAAGCACUUUAAGUCGGGAGGAAGGGCUGCUGGUUAACACCCUGCAGUUUUGACGUUACCGACAGAAUAAGCACCGGCUAACUCUGUGCCAGCAGCCGCGGUAAUACAGAGGGUGCGGGCGUUAAUCGGAAUUACUGGGCGUAAAGCGCGCGUAGGCGGUUCAGCAAGUUGGAUGUGAAAUCCCUGGGCUUAACCUGGGGAACUGCAUCCAAAACUACUGAGCUAGAG
RNAcentral lists this ribosomal RNA (606 nucleotides) under uncultured bacterium. Its description in RNAcentral is "bacterial SSU rRNA". It matches the Rfam family "Bacterial small subunit ribosomal RNA", at positions 45 to 646 of the family's 1533-position model. The record is from RNAcentral.